This is a long non-coding RNA of Dermochelys coriacea (leatherback sea turtle), 622 nucleotides long. RefSeq lists it as uncharacterized. NCBI's taxonomy places the organism in Eukaryota, Metazoa, Chordata, Testudines, Dermochelyidae. The transcript is spliced from 4 exons. The record is from RefSeq and is a predicted model, not a curated record.
GAGUAAUUGAGACUGCCAGACGGUAAGCUGAGAACAAGGUGAUUAUAUGGGCUUAAGCCUAAUAGGCGCAGCUCUGAGGAGCAAGUCUGGCUCUUGCAAAGCUCUAGCCAAAUAAAGCCUCUGAGUGGGAGUUAAAGAAGGAAGGUUUAUCCACAGAAAAGGUAAAGCACCAGCUGUCGCAGAAAGGACUUUUUCCCUAAAAGGAUUUAGACAGGUCUGGCAAAUCUUAGACUGUAGAGGUUAGAAGUGGUGGAUGUUAAAACUGAAUCCUGAAAGGGAAGAAACCAGAACACUUCCUUAGGUCAUGACUGAUGCCAUCUGGGAAGUAAAGAGAUCCCAUCUAUUUCUGUAGCUUGUAUUUUUUGCGCUGAAAUAAUUAAAAUGCUUAAUUUCAGAAUUUCUCUCUUGCCCUAAUGUAUCAUCUCAUUAGGCAAUCCAAUGUGAAUGACAGAAAGUAAUUCAUUUAAUUGUAUUAGCAUUUUUUAUUAUGAAACCACAUUGGAAUUGUGUAUAAUUUGAUAUAUUAAGUUUUCUGUCAUUUAUUUUACUUAAUAUUAUUUUCUUUAUCAUUUAUUUAUAUAUUCUCUCUAGCUUGUUUUUGAAUCAACUCAAAAAUGCAAUA